UAAAAGGCUUGAAGUCUCGUGAUUGUGAGUGUCAUCUCAGGUAAUCCACGGUACAUGAUAUUCAUGAUCAUGUAGAACAGAACACCCAUAAAUUUGUUUGCAUCUUGGACGGUCUCAUGAUGCAUUGUUGUUCGCAGGAAUAUGGUCGAGACAAUCACCGCUAUAAUCGAGCCCUUUAAAAAAUAAUGGUGUUGGUUUCCUUUUUAUUAAAAAGGUGAGACUCACCUGAAUUACGUUGCUAGUCACAUGAACGUAGAGAUUACGUUUUAUCAGUAUGAUUUCUCUUGAGCAGCAGGCCAGAAACAGCUUCCAGGAACUCAUCUUUGGUUCCUUUUUCCCUGCAGGAUAAACUUUCUUCAAGUCCUUGAGCGUGAAUUCAUCAGCCCGGUAUCGUUGAAAAGCAGCAGCAAAAUCUUUUCCCGAUACAAACCGGUAAGCUUCUUUAUCACCGCACCAAUAACCUUUUUGAUCUUUUCUUGACACUACCUGCAUUUCCCAAGACUUUAGAGGAACAUGAAUGUGUUGUAUACGACUGACCUCUUGUAAAUAAUCUGCUACUCCUUUUCUUGCAGGACAUUUGAAGCCUUGGGCCUCAAGAAAUUGUAGAACACCUUCUCGAGUUCCAUGGUAUACUAUAUGUCCUUCCGCAAGGAGUAUAAGAUCGUCAAACAGCUCGAAAACCUCUGGGGGUGGUUGCAGCAGCGAGAUCAGCAUCGUUUUGCUCAAAGCUUUCACGGUUUGC
Molecule: long non-coding RNA, 742 nt
Filed under: Selaginella moellendorffii
Lineage: Eukaryota; Viridiplantae; Streptophyta; Lycopodiopsida; Selaginellales; Selaginellaceae
Description: long non-coding RNA (SMOE_LNC002137)
Source: RNAcentral